CCUACGGGAGGCAGCAGUGAGGAAUAUUGGUCGAUGGGCGAGAGCCUGAACCAGCCAAGUCGCGUGAGGGAGUACUGCCCUAUGGGUUGUAAACAUCUUUUGUCGGGGAGCAAAAGCCUGACGUGUCCGGCUGUGAGAGUACCCGACGAAAAAGCAUCGGCUAACUCCGUGCCAGCAGCCGCGGUAAUACGGUGGAUGCGAGCGUUAUCCGGAUUUAUUGGGUUUAAAGGGUGCGUAGUCGGAUUUUUAAGUCAGCGGUCAAAUCGUGGGGAGCAACCCGAUCCAGCCGUUGAAACUGGGGAUCUAGAGUGUGCGGGAGGUAUGCGGAAGGCGGGGUGUAGCGGUGAAAUGCAUAGAUAUCACGCAGAA
Molecule: ribosomal RNA, 369 nt
Filed under: uncultured bacterium
Lineage: Bacteria
Description: partial 16S ribosomal RNA
Rfam family: Bacterial small subunit ribosomal RNA
Source: RNAcentral